Molecule: unclassified non-coding RNA, 253 nt
Filed under: uncultured Pseudobdellovibrionaceae bacterium
Lineage: Bacteria; Pseudomonadati; Bdellovibrionota; Bdellovibrionia; Bdellovibrionales; Pseudobdellovibrionaceae
Description: uncultured Bdellovibrionaceae bacterium contains 16S-23S intergenic spacer region
Rfam family: Bacterial small subunit ribosomal RNA
Source: RNAcentral
UACAGAGGGUGCAAGCGUUGCUCGGAUUUACUGGGCGUAAAGCGUACGCAGACGGUGAAGAAGGUCGGAUGUGAAAGCCCCGGGCUCAACCCGGGAACUGCAUCCGAAACCGCUUCGCUAGAGUAUGGGAGAGGAAAGCGGAAUUCCUGGUGUAGAGGUGAAAUUCGUAGAUAUCAGGAGGAACAUCUGCGGCGAAGGCGGCUUUCUGGCCCAUUACUGACGUUCAGGUACGAAAGCGUGGGUAGCAAACAGG